GGCUCACUCAGCAAUUAAAGAAAUUCGCUUAAAGAUUGGGCGUGCGGCUGAUUAGGUAGUUGGUGAGGUAACGGCUCACCAAGCCAACGAUCAGUAACUGGCGUGAGAGCGCGACCAGUCACACGGGCACUGAGACACGGGCCCGACUCCUACGGGAGGCAGCAGUAAGGAAUAUUGGUCAAUGGACGCAAGUCUGAACCAGCCAUGCCGCGUGAAGGAUGAAGGUCCUCUGGAUUGUAAACUUCUUUUAUAUGGGAAGAAACCACUUUUUUCUAAAGGUGUUGACGGUACCAUAGGAAUAAGCACCGGCUAACUCCGUGCCAGCAGCCGCGGUAAUACGGAGGGUGCAAGCGUUAUCCGGAUUCACUGGGUUUAAAGGGUGCGUAGGCGGAUUAGUAAGUCCGUGGUGAAAUCUCCGAGCUUAACUCGGAAACUGCCGUGGAUACUAUUAAUCUUGAAUACUGUGGAGGUUAGCGGAAUAUGUCAUGUAGCGGUGAAAUGCAUAGAUAUGACAUAGAACACCAAUUGCGAAGGCAGCUGGCUACACAGAGAUUGACUCUGAGGCACGAAAGCGUGGGGAUCAAACAGGAUUAGAUACCCUGGUAGUCCACGCCCUAAACGAUGAUUACUCGACAUUUGCGAUAUACAGUAAGUGUCUGAGCGAAAGCAUUAAGUAAUCCACCUGGGAAGUACGACCGCAAGGUUGAAACUCAAAGGAAUUGACGGGGGUCCGCACAAACGGUGGAGCAUGUGGUUUAAUUCGAUGAUACGCGAGGAACCUUACCUGGGCUAGAAUGCUGGUGGACCGGAUCUGAAAAGGGUCCUUUGUUCCCAUACCCCCCAGUAAGGUG
This 851-nucleotide ribosomal RNA is filed under the name uncultured bacterium. Its description in RNAcentral is "bacterial SSU rRNA". It matches the Rfam family "Bacterial small subunit ribosomal RNA", at positions 187 to 1040 of the family's 1533-position model. The record is from RNAcentral.